UUGCUAGUUAAUAUAAAAAAUAAAAACAAACAAACAAACAAAAUAUAACCUGAAUAGGCACCAUUUAAUCCCAUAUGAUAAUUCACCUAUUUUUAUACUUAUUUCACAUCUCAAUCUGUAUUUGUAAUAUAGCCUAGCUCUUAUUAAUUCACAUACAACUUGUACAGAUCCCAAACAUACCCAACUGUUCAGGGAAAGAAAAAAAAAAUGACCUUGCACAGACCAAGCACAGAAUGAUGAAGCGCUAAAUCACCCACCCAUGUUGUAUUACCUACAAUACCUCAUGAAAACCAAAAAUUUCAGACAAUAACAAAAUAAAAUAAGAGAGGGUAGAAAACACGCUAGGCUUCGACACAGUUCCAAAAAUUUUUAGGAAUAACCAGUACAUAAAGAUAA
Molecule: unclassified non-coding RNA, 396 nt
Filed under: Hevea brasiliensis (rubber tree)
Lineage: Eukaryota; Viridiplantae; Streptophyta; Magnoliopsida; Malpighiales; Euphorbiaceae
Source: RNAcentral